AGCAGGCGGCUGUGUAAACGCGUCAACUAUUUAUGGGAUUAAUAAUUCCGAGCACUUCUUCACGCUCGAUGAACCAAAAACCCCUAACCCGCCCCUUUCAAUUAAUGGCAACUGUGUCGAAACUAGUUUCAAUUUCGAACUCAAAUUACCAGUUUCAACCAGUUCGAAAUAUCUCAUUAAUAACCUCCUAUUUGUUACUGCAAUCGGUAAACUGUAAAUACUCGAAUUGUUUGCUGCUGCGAAGCGUUCUUGUGUUUCCCCUAACUCGUUAAUUAGCAAUAAAUAGAGCGUUCUCAUUAUCGGGGCGCAUUCGCAUCGCUCUAAAAUGAAGGUUCGAGUCACGGUGUUGGCUAUCCUUGCUGUCGUUGCUACCGCACUGGCGUCGGUGACUUGGGAGGGUGACUGUCACUGCUGGGACGAGUUCUAUAAAUUCAGUAAAAACGGUGUUUAUUUUUGUAAAGGAAUCAAACAUAAUCGAGUUUUCAUGUGCAACGACGUCAAGCCACCGAUCUGCAAGUGUGAAGUCGAUGGACACAUUAUUAGUUUGGACUUGGGCGAAACCAACUGUCUGUCGGUGGUUCAGGGACUCGCGGGCGUGUGGUGUCACAACAAGAAGGACUUCGAGAAGUACUUCUCGACGCAUCCUGAGCAUGACAUAACUGGAACAUAUUAAUAAAUAGUACGGUGGAAGGGCGGUCGUAACGAAGAGCACACUCUGGCGCCACCUGCCAACGAGAAGCCAAACUUCUAACUUAAGUCGUUUAUAUUUAUGGCCAUUUUGUUACAACUCUGGCGAAUAAAACCGUGUAAAUGUC
Zophobas morio is the source of this 815-nucleotide long non-coding RNA. RefSeq lists it as uncharacterized. The record is from RefSeq and is a predicted model, not a curated record. Lineage: Eukaryota; Metazoa; Arthropoda; Insecta; Coleoptera; Tenebrionidae. The transcript has 2 exons.